CGGCAAUGGACGAAAGUCUGACCGAGCAACGCCGCGUGAGUGAAGAAGGUUUUCGGAUCGUAAAGCUCUGUUGUAAGUCAAGAACGUGUGUGAGAGUGGAAAGUUCACACAGUGACGGUAGCUUACCAGAAAGGGACGGCUAACUACGUGCCAGCAGCCGCGGUAAUACGUAGGUCCCGAGCGUUGUCCGGAUUUAUUGGGCGUAAAGGGAGCGCAGGCGGUCAGGAAAGUCUGGAGUAAAAGGCUAUGGCUCAACCAUAGUGUGCUCUGGAAACUGUCUGACUUGAGUGCAGAAGGGGAGAGUGGAAUUCCAUGUGUAGCGGUGAAAUGCGUAGAUAUAUGGAGGAACACCAGUGGCGAAAGCGGCUCUCUGGUCUGUCACUGACGCUGAGGCUCGAAAGCGUGGGUAGCGAACAGGAUUAGAUACCCUGGUAGUCCACGCCGUAAACGAUGAGUGCUAGGUGUUAGGCCCUUUCCGGGGCUUAGUGCCGGAGCUAACGCAAUAAGCACUCCGCCUGGGGAGUACGACCGCAAGGUUGAAACUCAAAGGAAUUGACGGGGGCCCGCACAAGCGGUGGAGCAUGUGGUUUAAUUCGAAGCA
This 601-nucleotide ribosomal RNA is filed under the name Streptococcus mutans. Its description in RNAcentral is "bacterial SSU rRNA". It matches the Rfam family "Bacterial small subunit ribosomal RNA", at positions 366 to 958 of the family's 1533-position model. Lineage: Bacteria; Bacillati; Bacillota; Bacilli; Lactobacillales; Streptococcaceae. The record is from RNAcentral.